GCUUCUCCCAUUUAUGAAUCCAAGAUUUCUGUAAAGAACAAAUAAAAUUAAAUUUCAGCAGACAUAUAUUUCCUUGCAUGUUGUGCUGUACAGUAGCUACGGGAAUAAAUAUACGAAAAGGAAAAAGUGAGUGAUUUCUAUUAACAAGAGAUCGCCUAUGUAAUAGCUACAAACAAAUGAACCUGCUGCACCAACUCAUAUCAUGUCUUACAUUGAUAUUCUCCACGUGUUACACAUAUACACCAUCAACUAUUUGUCCUAAAGUAUUUGUCAAUGACUAAUUGGAUUCUUUAAACUUCUAGGGGAAAGAAAGAUGCCAUGGCCUUGCUCGCUGCUAACAUGAAUGGAUGAAAAGGACAUGCUUUGGAGUCUGGAGUACUUUGGAAUGAAUUUGAGAGUGUCACUUAUAGCACUGGAUGCCACCAUUUAUUUUCAGUAAUGUAACUGCAGUAAUGGAUAAUCUCACUAACCUCUGUAACUUUCUUUGACUGCCGAUUAUAAGGGUUGUCGUCAGUUUUAAACAUUUCCAUCUGAGAUGGGCUUAAGCCAUAGAGGAAUUGAGGAAUGUUUUUGUAACUAGAUGACCCGGUUGCGCCAUUGGCGCAAAAAGCGAGUUAGAAGCAAUGUUAGUGGUGAGUAAGUAAGAAAUGUAGAUGGAAAGAUAAUGCAGUGUGGACUGUAUUGCAGAUAGUAGAAUGACUUAAACUGAUUUACAAAUAGUAGAAUGACUUAAAUUGGUUUACAGAUAGUAGAAUGACUUAGGUCAGUUCAUAGAAAUACACUUAUAUAUAGGCUGCCUCACAGCUUAUUUAGGCAUCUUCUUAGUUUGACCGCGGUCUUAAGAUGAUAUGUACGAAAAAGCAGUGUCAUCAUCGGAUAAUGCUUGCAUGGUAGACUUCCACAGGUACUUGAAGGCCUAUAAAAGGUGUUGGUUCCACUGUCAGACCAUUUGGAGUAGCCCAUAUAGUUAUUAUCUCCGGAAUAUAUUUUCUUUCAUUGGUCCAUAUGACACACUUGUAGAACCAAAUAUCAGGGAAAUCACCAACAUGAUAGUUGUUGUUCUCUAGCAUGCAAAAUAAUGACUCAGGAUGUCUUCCAGAGGUGAGCCGUAGAACUCAGUUGGUAGCCCUGUAAUCCUUAUCUCAUCUCUUCGAGAGAGGAUAUGCGAUACUACACCAAUAGACACGAUGAGAGGAUAGCAAGCAACCCGCGGUAGACAGAAUAAAUGGUUUAGGAGGGGGAAACAGAAAUGAAAAGAGUGUGUAUAAUAUUCAUACUACACAAAGGAUAGGUUAACCAUGCCUGCAAUCACCAUGAAUAGAAUUAGCAACAACUAUCUAUCCGUUACUUGAAUGGAAUGCAGGUGAAUGCAUCUCCAAUAAGAGAAGAAUAGGUAGUGAGCACACAAGUUUGCACUUUACACAGGUAAGUAAUUGGAUCAGGUAAUCAGGUUUGCCAAUGAGGUUAGAACAAAAGUUUGGUAUCAAAAGUAAAUUGAUACAAUUGCAAAGGAAAGGUUUUGUAAGAAAGGUACCCUGUAAGCAAUUUCUUCUGGUCAACACAGAUGCAAAGCAAAGGUGUGAAAACAUCAGUUUAUCUUGGUUUUUAGGCCUAUUAUCAAACAACCUGUGAUUGUCACAAAAACAAUGAAGUAGGUAAAAUCUGGGAGUUAUUCAACUAAGUCUGACAAUACACGGUUUAUUUCCGGCGAAAAAAUACAUCCUCUGGUUUUUAGGAAGAUCCAACUUACAAACAACACCGAGCAUACAUUCAUAGCAAAUACAUAAUGACCAUGGGCAAUGGCAUAGAAUGCAGAACACAAUAGAUGGUUUAAUUUACAUGUGCCAUCGCCAUAGGAAAACUAAAUACACCUAUCACAGAUCCUUGAACCUAGAGCAGAGUAACAGUUUCAAGUAAAGAAAAGCGGGAACGAUUGUUAAGGAGCUAUUUCUAUCGAGGAUGUCAGCUGUAGUUUCCCAAAGCAUAGGAACAACAUAAAUUAGGGGAUUCACUAAGAGUAUUAUGUUAACAAUCUGGUAUCACAUACAUAGCCCAAGUAUAUACUCACAGGCAUGUUCCUUAGUAUAUAACUAAUAACAAGGAGGCAUUAUCGAUCAGUUAAACCAAAGUUAAUAGUGCAGCAUGUUGUCUAUAAAGUCAAGUGACCAUGCAGUUUUUUUUCAGGGAUAAAAGAUGGUGUGAUCUUUUCCAUGGUCUUUAGUUUUCAUCUUUCAGCCUAUGUAUAUGAAGUUUUGGUUGACCUGCACUUCAAUUGAUAGUUUGGUAAAGCCUUGUACUAAAGAUCAGAAAACACAUUGGUGGUUAGCAUGUACUGCUCCAAUAAACCUGGAUCACCAUCUGAAUGAAAAUGCACCUAAAGGAAGGUGUAUCACAAUUUCUAUCACGGGAAAUACACAGGUCGUCGUGAUACCGCUAUAAAAAGGCGAUCUUGGAGGCAUGCAGCUUGGUCCGGACACCCUCGUUAUUAGCAUAAUUGGCUAUCAAAUGGGCAUCCACUCAAAUUAUCUAAAGGGAGAUUAUUCUUUGUGGUGGUCCACAUGCUAUAAAUUUUCAAGUAAUGUUAUACAUGAAAUGGAGGUUAUAUGGUUAACUAUCAUAUCAGCAUCACUCAAAUUAUCUGAAGGUAAACUCAGUAUUUUUCAGGCUAAAGCACUGAAACGGAGGAGCUACCCCACUUUUCUUUCUUAUUAUAUACAGGUUAUACAUGAAAUAAAAUGAAGUAUACAUGGUGCGUAAAUGAUUACUGAAUUGCUCCUCCCUAUCCAGACGAAUUGAUUUCAACCGCCAAAUCACAGCAGAGAGGACGAACAGUGAAUAAAUUGGAUGGCAAGGAGUUGCAAUACCUGUGGAUGGGUUGGAGACAGCGAGGUCGCAGGCAAGGACACCCAUCCAAGCAUGUUUAUGUUUUUGUGAAACCUGGGAAGGAUGUGAAAACUGAGCUGCAAGUAAAACCAUAGCUUCCUUUUGUUUAGGUUCUGCUGAGAAGUCCCAUAGCAUGAUAUCUUCAGAACAGCAUGUGGUGUGCCAGUGGCAUCCAAAAAAAAAGAUUUGGAACAGAGAGAAUAGAAAUACACCAAAAGAGAACAUCAUCUUUGAAAUUUUUCUCACGCCUGGCCUAAUUGCAAAGAUAUUCUUAAAUGCCCAUAUAUUUAUUUAGCUAAUUACUAUAAGCAAGAUAAGCCGACCUCAUACAAAAAGCGGAAGACAUUGAGUAUGCUCCUAUACUCUGUCAAAAUUAAAUUAUACAAAUACUAUCAGUUCAAAAUGUAUUUUCAUUGCCAUCAUGUCACCAUACACAUCAAAGAGCCAAUAGAUUAGCUAACUGACACAAUCCAUAUAUUUAGCAUCAUGAUUUCCAAAAAAUCAAUUAAAAAUAACCUAUCACCUGAAACUCAAAAGCGAUAACCUCGAGCGAUGAUCCAAGUGUUGAGGCGUCACAAAAAACAGGGCCAUUUUUUAGCCUAAUUGGAGGCUGUAAAGGCCUAGUCAAAGUUUUGUUUUUGCCUGCAGGGGCAACUGUUCGCGUGGGGGCCUGGGGCGAAUCGUUCGGUCCAGCUCCUCCCCCAGAUCGACCAAAAACGUUCGGUGGGGUGAUCGCUCCCUGGCGAACGUUUCGUUCGUUCCGAGGAGAAAAAAAACCUGACGUUCCCAGGAAACCAUUUUCACACUUUGCAUAUCUCCGUGCGUAUACUAAACAUGCUAACGACAUCCACGCACUUGAGAAAGUAAAUAAUCAAACAACACUCACAUGACUUGCAGAGUCCUAUCAUUUCUGCUUUACCGCCCCAAAAAACAAUAUAGUUGUUCUGCAAGUAAUUACAUGACAUGAUGAUGGCUUUAUCAGAUAUCAUUUUUUGUGAUUAGUGGCCAUGUGCAUGCCUAAACCUGAUAUCAUGAUUCAUCUGCAAGACUGCAAAUUCUUCCUAGACACCUAAACUAAACCAACAAGUUAUGGUAGUAGUCCAUAGAAAUAAUUUAGAAAAAACAACAUAAAGGAGAGGAGAAGGCAGAUGGUAAGGCAUCGUUACUAAGAACAGGUUACAACCCAAAAGAUUCAUUUAUUCCAGAAAUAUAAGUAUGCAUCUCAUGAGAGGAAAAUAAACUCUCUUAAGGGAAGUAGAACAACUCAUAAUCCCAACCGAACAUGCACAAAACAGAGAUCAGCCACGUAAUUUUACUGCAUGAUAGGUUAUCAUUUUUACUUUUCUUGUUUAGCGAAGAGGGGUCGCAGGUUGCAAGUAAUAUAACUUCAUUUGUAUUUCCUUGGAAAACAGAGUCAGGUGCAACCUUUAUACACCACUGUCUAAUAUGAGUUAAUGGGGAAAGGAGUAAUGGAACCAAUGAGCAUAUAAAUUCUGAAAUCAUCCUCGACAACAUCAUGUGUGGAAAAUUUUACAAAGGAAAAGGGCAAUCUCUUCUUUUAUCAUACCAGGGGUACAUCAAAUAAUUUUCAUUUGCAGACAAUAGAAAAAGCCUUAACUCAGCUGAAAGAUGGGCAAUCCAGAAAUACUGAUGAACAUCAGCUCUAUUGACUCGUGUAGUCCAGGGAUCGCAAAAGUAGCUAAUUCAAUAUCCAGACUCUGAGUGUGCAAUUAACAAUUGUAGAGUUGGCAAGGACAUAAAUCCUAUAGUAAAGAUAUUGAUAUCAAAUAAAUAAAUGAACUGGGAAUGAAGAAAUCAGAGAAGGGGGACCUCACUGUCCAUGGCUAAGCAAAACAAACUUACAUGUAAAGAUGUGGCAUAGGUGUGCUUGUCUCACCGAGCGAGAUCCCUGUGGGUUGCACAUAAUGAUGCAAGAGUAGUCUGUCUCCAGGAAACUUCAAAGCUACAUGACCACACCAAAGUUGAAAUCAAAAUUAGUUAUGUACAACAGUACAAGAUGAUUCUAUCACUGGCAACCAAUUAUUCUAGGGUUUAAUUAGUUCUCAGCUUACUUAAUUAGUUUGGUCUGCCAAGCAUUUUGUUCCUACUACAGUCUUCAAGUAUAUCGUGUAACCAAGUUAUAUCCAUUGGUACUAAAGAAAGAACAACCUGUAUAAAUUAUGUGAGCAAAGUAGAAAAGAUAAAAAAUUAGUAAAAAGCAAUAAAUCAUAAUCGCCGUCUCAAUCAGCAAUAUAAACAGUUCUACCAUGAUUCUUCAAUGCAUUGCGAAGUGAGAUCCCAAUCCCAUUUUCAUCUCAAUCCUUCUCUAGAGCUAUUUUCCCCCAAAUCUUUUUUGGCCAACAGUCUGUAGGAACAUAGUGGAACUUCCCAAAUCUUCUUUGGCCAUCAGUCUGUGGGAUAAAAUGUAACUUCAAUGUAUAAGAGUAUGACAAAUAAAAUAAUAUUUGCACAGGCAAAGAUGAGAAUUUCUAGGAAAUUAAAGGGUCAAUUGUAUCAAGCCUGGGUGAAGUUUAAGAUGGAUAGGACGUUCCAUGUGAGGUCAGCUCUAUACAAAGCAUGAUCAUACAUUAUCCUAUCAAUUUGACUGACCUACAAAGAGGAAGCACAUAUUGUACACAGACCAAACAGUGGCUUGAGAAAUGAAACACCUUUGAUAUACAGCAUAGAGUCAGAGAUGAUGACUGAACUUACAUAUCUUUUGGAAGUGUUGAUUCAUCAGUAUUUGAAUACAGAAACAAUGAGCCACCAAUCUCAAGUCUCAACACUCAGAAUUUCGAGAGAAGAUAUGUGUGUUCAUUUGUGAUCAGUAAUCAUGAAGAUGUCCACGCACACACCUGGUUGAACAACAUUAGCAGCUUGUGAUAUGCCAAUCAGGAUACCUCACAAAAUAUUCUCACAAUGCGUCGAUCAGUAUUUAUGCAAACCAACAACCGCCACAUUAUUUUCUCACCUGCAACUUGGGAGCAGGCCGCCGCCGUCGACCACCGCUCCGCAUCUUGGCUGCAUUUAUGAAUCAAAUUCUUAGAACCCUUGGUAUACUGCUAUCUCGCAACAUCACCUGCAACUUGGGAGCAGGCUGCCGUCGUCCACCACCGCUCUGCAUCUUGGCUGCAUUUAUGAAUCGAAUUCUUAAUGUCCUUGGUAUAUUGAACACAAUUUCAUUCAAAGUGCAUAACAUGAUCUAUGAACACAAUUUUAUUCAAAGCAUAUGAACCAAAUUGACUACUGCUUCAACCAUUCAACCAAUUGCUGCCACCAUUUUCUAAAGUUAAUCUAGAAAAGUGGCUGCAUAGAGCUAGAUCCCAAAAUAAUCACAUGAAGAAAGAAAAACUACUUUUAUGCAGAAGAUGGUACAUCGUCUCUUCAUACCUCACCGUGGAACACCUCACCAACAAAUCCGGCUCNNNNNNNNNNNNNNNNNNNNNNNNNNNNNNNNNNNNNNNNNNNNNNNNNNNNNNNNNNNNNNNNNNNNNNNNNNNNNNNNNNNNNNNNNNNNNNNNNNNNNNNNNNNNNNNNNNNNNNNNNNNNNNNNNNNNNNNNNNNNNNNNNNNNNNNNNNNNNNNNNNNNNNNNNNNNNNNNNNNNNNNNNNNNNNNNNNNNNNNNNNNNNNNNNNNNNNNNNNNNNNNNNNNNNNNNNNNNNNNNNNNNNNNNNNNNNNNNNNNNNNNNNNNNNNNNNNNNNNNNNGAAGCUCACCUUGGUGAUGGCGGCAGAUGUGGUCGUCGUCGCUCGAUGCGCAGCUCCCAAAGCCAGGACACCGUUGGUCCAAGCCGCUGCCGUCCGCGUCCUUCCAGGCCGAUGACCCUCUCACGUCAGCCAACGCACCUCCAUCUCCUUUUUCCUCUCUCUUUCGCCCUCCUCUAUUUCCUUUCCUCUCUCCAUGGCGCUGCAUCAGAUCGAACGCCACCGCCAUCGCCCUUGGCGUGCAGGUCGCCGCCGCCGCCGCCGUCGGAACGAAUGCGGGCGAAGAAAGUGACGCGCGACGGCGACGAUUGAAGUGGGGGGAGGGGAGGAGGGGACGCAGGGCUAUAGCGACGGGCGAUGGCGGCGAGAGAAGGGGAGGGGAGGGAGAGGAGAGGAGGCAGGGCUCGAGGGGAUUGGUGGCUUGGUUUUACCGUGCGAACCCCACGCUCUAUGCGGAUCCCCUCUUUUCGCACGCAGCGUACACGCGAGACACACCGCAAAACUGGGCCCGUGAGAAAAGGAGGCCCACCAGUCAUUCACUUAUGCAGAAGAGCACAAUGUGCAGAUAAACGAGUGGCUGGAUUUUUUACAGCGCCGUAAAAACGAGCCAGCGAGGCAGAUCGAGCGUACAGGAAUCGUUCGAAACGGAGAUGGCGCUGGGAUGGCGGGUACUCUAGCAGCUUUUAUAUGUUCCAUUAUCCAUUACUGCAAGAAGGUUAAAAAUAAAGCUUGAAGCCACUAUGACCGGACCGUGAAACAUGUGAAUGGAAUUACAAAUCAUAAUAAUAAGUAUUUCGUCUAGGCAAAUUAAUGAAGUAUAGGAUCCUGAUUUCUCAACGAAUUUAAGCAUGUGAGAUUCAGAUCACAAACAUUUUGUUUCUCGAUGAAUUUAAGCAUGUGUUAGACACAAGCACAAUUUUUGCCAAUCAGUGAUGUGAAAAUAAAAACGAGGAGCAGAGCAUUUACCUGAGAAUCUGAAGACGCAGUCCCCUGUAUUCUCUUCCUCUCCUCCUUAGAAAUCAACGAUUCCACCGGAACAUAGACCUGCAACCAGUGGCCGAGCGUGACAAGCAACUAAGAAGGGGUCAUUUUUCAAAAUGAAUGCAAAAAAGGAUGUGCAACUCACAACAUGUUGUGCUGAUAGUUGUUCUUGUUCAACACUUUCUUUGCCUCUCUUUCAUUUGUAAAAGGACUGCAUGUUCUACUAUUUCAAAAAAAAUGUUACUUCUCUAAAUCAGGACAUGGCUGACUGCACAGUACUGUGACUGACCGCUUGACAGAUUUAACACCUUAAUCAAGUUACUUUAAUUUGUACAAACAGGUUAACCCCAUGGCAAUGGAAAUUUACAUGGCACGCAAACACAUGGUUGAAUGACUUAACAUCUGAUAAUCUUAAUCAAGUUCACAAGGCAAUCAAAAUCUGCACAUCAUCAGACAAGUCAGAACACUCGUCGGAAUACCACUUUAUCACUUGUCGGAACUGAACAUUGCUUGCUCCUUCGGCAGCAGCCAACAGUUUACCGUUUGUCUGUUCAUUGGCGCUCAUCGCAUUAUGCGCUGGCCCUGAGGGUAGCGCACAUCAUGAGAAGGGGCAUAAUGCACAUCACGAGAACUCUGCGCUCCUCCAGUUUUUACUAAAAUAUGUGCUCGUUAGACAGGCAAAAAAAGUGGCACAGAUAAUCAAAGU
This 8273-nucleotide long non-coding RNA is filed under the name Triticum aestivum (bread wheat). RNAcentral describes it as "long non-coding RNA (TAES_LNC019411)". Lineage: Eukaryota; Viridiplantae; Streptophyta; Magnoliopsida; Poales; Poaceae. The record is from RNAcentral.